This 401-nucleotide ribosomal RNA is filed under the name uncultured bacterium. RNAcentral describes it as "bacterial SSU rRNA". It matches the Rfam family "Bacterial small subunit ribosomal RNA", at positions 355 to 772 of the family's 1533-position model. The record is from RNAcentral.
UCGGGAAUUUUGGGCAAUGGGGGAAACCCUGACCCAGCAACGCCGCGUGAAGGAUGAAGUAUUUCGGUAUGUAAACUUCGAAAGAAUAGGAAGAAUUAAUGACGGUACUAUUUAUAAGGUCCGGCUAACUACGUGCCAGCAGCCGCGGUAAUACGUAGGGACCAAGCGUUGUUCGGAUUUACUGGGCGUAAAGGGCGCGUAGGCGGCAUGACAAGUCACUUGUGAAAUCUCCGGGCUUAACUCGGAACGGCCAAGUGAUACUGUCACGCUAGAGUGCAGAAGGGGCAAUCGGAAUUCUUGGUGUAGCGGUGAAAUGCGUAGAUAUCAAGAGGAACACCUGAGGUGAAGACGGGUUGCUGGGCUGACACUGACGCUGACAGCGCGAAAGCCAGGGGAGCAAA